Molecule: ribosomal RNA, 98 nt
Filed under: Ditylenchus dipsaci
Lineage: Eukaryota; Metazoa; Nematoda; Chromadorea; Rhabditida; Anguinidae
Description: partial 18S ribosomal RNA
Rfam family: Eukaryotic small subunit ribosomal RNA
Source: RNAcentral
GAUUGCUUUUUGGUGAGAACCAACUUAAUCGCAGUGGCUUGAACCGGGCAAAAGUCGUAACAAGGUGGCUGUAGGUGAACCUGCUGCCGGAUCAUUAU